This 1850-nucleotide ribosomal RNA is filed under the name freshwater metagenome. RNAcentral describes it as "bacterial LSU rRNA". It matches the Rfam family "Bacterial large subunit ribosomal RNA", at positions 328 to 2138 of the family's 2925-position model. The record is from RNAcentral.
UCAAGCAGAAGACGGCAUACGAGAUCAUAGCCGGUGACUGGAGUUCAGACGUGUGCUCUUCCGAUCUGUUCCCAGUCACGAUAGAAGGUGAUAGUCCUGUAGAUAAACGAAUGUAUGACUCUAGUGGUAUCCAGAGUACGGCGGGGCACGUGAAAUCCUGUCGGAAUUUAUGCAGACCACUGCAAAAGGCUAAAUACUCGUUUGUGACCGAUAGUGAACCAGUACCGUGAGGGAAAGGUGAAAAGAACCCCGGGUGGGGAGUGAAAAGAUUCUGAAACUAUGUGCCUACAAAUAGUCAGAGGGCGUUAAAGCCUGAUGGCGUGCCUAUUGAAGAAUGAGCCUGCGAGUUAAUGUAUCGUGCAAGGUUAAGGAGAUAAUCCGGAGCCGUAGUGAAAGCGAGCCUGAAUAGGGCGUUAAGUACGAUGUAUUAGACCCGAAGCCAGACGAUCUAUCCAUGACCAGGAUGAAGGUGAAGUAAAAUUUGCUGGAGGUCCGAACCGACGCCCGUUGAAACGUUCGCGGAUGAGUUGUGGAUAGGGGAGAAAUUCCAAUCGAGUUUGGUGAUAGCUGGUUCUCCUCGAAAUAGCUUUAGGGCUAGCGUUUAAAGUUUAGGUAUGGAGGUAGAGCACUGUAUGUGAAAUGGCCGCGCAUAGCGGUACUGCUCACGAACAAACUCCAAAUGCCAUAUCGUAUCUUUAAGCAGUCAGACUGUGGGGGAUAAGCUCCAUGGUCAAAAGGGAAACAGCCCAGAUCGUCAAAUAAGGUCCCAAAAUUUACGCUAAGUGUGAAAGGAUGUGGAGACGCUCAAACAACUAGGAUGUUGGCUUAGAAGCAGCCAUCAUUUAAAGAGUGCGUAACAGCUCACUAGUCGAGUAUCUCUGCGCCGAAGAUUUACCGGGGCUAAGCGUAGUACCGAAUUUACGGAUUUAAGUAGUAAUACCUAAGUGGUAGGGGAGCGUUCUGUUCGCGGCGAAGCUAGACUGUGAAGACUAGUGGAGCGUACAGAAGUGAGAAUGCAGGUGUGAGUAACGAUUACAGGUGAGAAUCCUGUACACCGAUAGAUCAAGGUUUCCUGGGGUCAGGUUCGUCCUCCCAGGGUUAGUCGGGACCUAAGACAAGGCCGAAAGGCGUCGUCGAUGGACACCAGGUUGAUAUUCCUGGACCCGUAUGUAUGCGAUGUAGUGACAGAGACAGUUAGUGACGCCGGUUAUUGGAUUCCGGUAUAAGCAGAAUACCCGUACGAUUGGCAAAUCCGUCGUGCUUAAGGGGAAGCUGUGAUGUGGAGGGAAUGGCGCAAGCCUAGUACCGAAGGUUGUGAAACUGGCUUUUGAAAAAAGCUGCUAGCUUAAGUACAUGCGGCCCGUACCGAGAACGGACACACGUGAUCAAGAUGAGUAAUCUAAGGUGAGCGAGUCAACUGUUGUUAAGGAACUCUGCAAAAUUGCUUCGUAAGUUAGCAAGAAGAAGCGCUCAACGCAAGUUGAGUCGCAGUGAAGAGGCCCAAGUAACUGUUUAUCAAAAACACAGCUUUAUGCUAAGUCGCAAGACGAUGUAUAUGAGGUGAUGCCUGCCCAGUGCUGGAAGGUUAAAUUGAGAGGUUAGUCGCAAGACAAAGCUUUGAUGUGAAGCCCCAGUGAACGGCGGCCGUAACUAUAACGGUCCUAAGGUAGCGAAAUUCCUUGUCGGGUAAGUUCCGACGCGCAUGAAUGGUAUAAUAAUUUGGGCGCUGUCUCGACAGCAGACUCGGUGAAAUCAGAAUGACCUGUGAAGAUGCAGGUUACCCGCGACUAGACGGAAAGACCCCAUGGAGCUUUACUGUAGCUUAAUAUUGAUUAAUUUUGAACUUUGUA